RNAcentral lists this ribosomal RNA (468 nucleotides) under uncultured bacterium. RNAcentral describes it as "partial 16S ribosomal RNA". It matches the Rfam family "Bacterial small subunit ribosomal RNA", at positions 28 to 507 of the family's 1533-position model. The record is from RNAcentral.
GACGAACGCUGGCGGCGUGCUUAACACAUGCAAGUCGAACGGAAAGGCCCUGCUUUUGUGGGGUGCUCGAGUGGCGAACGGGUGAGUAACACGUGAGUAACCUGCCCUUGACUUUGGGAUAACUUCAGGAAACUGGGGCUAAUACCGGAUAGGAGCUCCUGCUGCAUGGUGGGGGUUGGAAAGUUUCGGCGGUUGGGGAUGGACUCGCGGCUUAUCAGCUUGUUGGUGGGGUAGUGGCUUACCAAGGCUUUGACGGGUAGCCGGCCUGAGAGGGUGACCGGCCACAUUGGGAAUGAGAUACGGCCCAGACUCCUACGGGAGGCAGCAGUGGGGAAUAUUGCACAAUGGGCGGAAGCCUGAUGCAGCAACGCCGCGUGCGGGAUGACGGCCUUCGGGUUGUAAACCGCUUGCGCCUGUGACGAAGCGUGAGUGACGAUAAUGGGUAAAGAAGAACCGGCUAACUACGUG